RNAcentral lists this ribosomal RNA (685 nucleotides) under Collemopsidium sp. s1405. RNAcentral's name for it is "SSU rRNA". It matches the Rfam family "Bacterial small subunit ribosomal RNA", at positions 377 to 1131 of the family's 1533-position model. The record is from RNAcentral. Lineage: Eukaryota; Fungi; Ascomycota; Collemopsidiomycetes; Collemopsidiales; Xanthopyreniaceae.
UAACGACUGAACCAGCAAUUUGGGGGAAUGUUAAUAUGUAAAGCAUAUGUUGAUUUAUUCAAUUAAAGUUCUGGCAAGUUAAUGAUAAUGACAAUUACUUGUUUAUAAGUCUUGACCAAAUCUUGUGCCAGCUGUCGCGGCAAGACAAGAAAGGCUGCGUUAUUCAUCUUUAAUAGGUUUAAAGGGUACCUAGACGGUAAAUCAACUAAAAAAAAAGUAAUUUACUAGAGUUAAUAUACUAAGAGUUUAGAAUUGAUGGUGGUAAAGAUAAUAUUUAUUGAUACCAUGAAGGACUGAUAAAAGCGAAGGCAAUUCUUUAGUAUUAACUGACGUUGAGGGACGAAGGCUCGGGUAGCAAACAGGAUUAGAUACCCUAAUAGUCCGGGCAGAAAAUUAUGAAUGUCAUAGACCAAUAAUAGGUCUAUAAAUGAAAGUGUAAACAUUCCACCUCAAGAGUAAUGUGGCAACGCUGGAACUGAAAUCAUUAGACCGUUUCUGAAACCAGUAGUGAAGUAUGUUAUUUAAUUCGAUAAUCCACGAAAAACCUUACCACAACUUCCUUGAUUAUUUGUAUAAUUAAUAUAGAACAAGUGUUGCACGGCUGUCUCAAGUUAAUGUCGUGAGAGAGAGAUUAUCACAUCCUUAAAAUUAACGUAAACCCUUAUUUUAUUUGAUGUAAUAAAAU